This 253-nucleotide ribosomal RNA is filed under the name uncultured bacterium. RNAcentral describes it as "partial 16S ribosomal RNA". It matches the Rfam family "Bacterial small subunit ribosomal RNA", at positions 15 to 258 of the family's 1533-position model. The record is from RNAcentral.
GAUCCUGGCUCGGGAUGAGCGCUAGCUACAGGCUUAACACAUGCAAGUCGAGGGGCAUCAGUUUGGUUUGCUUGCAAACCAAAGCUGGCGACCGGCGCACGGGUGAGUAACACGUAUCCAACCUGCCUCAUACUCGGGGAUAGCCUUUCGAAAGAAAGAUUAAUAUCCGAUAGCAUAUAUUUCCCGCAUGGGUUUUAUAUUAAAGAAAUUCGGUAUGAGAUGGGGAUGCGUUCCAUUAGUUUGUUGGGGGGGG